GCUAUUCUGCUUUGAGGAAGCUAUGAUUGUGAACACUGUAUAAUUUCUCUGGCAGAUCUGAAACUGAUCUCACCUAAAUUCCAAACUUGGGGCUGAGGUAUUUAAACCUUGACCAUGGCAAUGACCCAGUCUUUAAGGGUCAGAACUCAACUUCAUUAUCUGCAGCCCUAAGAUCUCUGCAAAGGAGCCACUGCGACACUCCGGCCGCACCAGCUGGUCCUAUAUUUAGUUACUGUUGUGGUCAACUGGGAACUUUAGAGCCUGGCAGCCGCUCUGCGGGGCAACCGGAGCCUCCGCAGCCAUGCGCACGAUCUGCCCCACCGCUGGCUCCGCUGGCUCCAGACAGACUUCGGGACCCUGCUGAAGCCAAGAGCUGAUGUGGCGAGGUAAGGGGCACAAUGCUAAUCACACCCCAACAGUCCCAAAGGUCCACUCGAGACCAGAGCAGAGAUGACCCACUUUCUCACCCAGGGGAAAGAGCCCGCUGGGGCAAUGAGCUGGACACGUUGGCGCCUGGUUUCGCAGCUCAGCUUUAGAGUUGGGGAGCCCCGCGUGAGCAUCCUUAGACUGUACCGACAGUACACAGUGGCCAAGGACAGGAUCCCUGGACCCCAUUCUCACAGCCAGUGGCUGCUCGUCUCCAGCCUCGCGCUGGCCUGGCAGACAGGAACUGGGACAAAUGGAGCAAGCAGAGGGGGGACGCUGGUGAUCGCAGAGGCCGGGGGCGUCCCACGCUGCCAGGGGCGGAGAGGCACACUCCCAAGUGACAUGCGCAGCUGCCUCUCCCGAUGGGCAAGGGCGUCUCACUGGGGAGACGGAAGCCGGGCUGUCCGAGAGCUCUAACCACGAGCCUCCCACUACCGCAAGCGAUAGUCCAUGACCUCUGGGCACCGCCCGAGCCAUGACUCGGUGCUACCAGGUGUGCUGGGGGAGGGGAAGGGACACGGCCAAGCCCAGUGCUUUCCCUUCUGCCCCUGCCACGCUCGGCCUCUGGCCACCGUUAUUCAGCGCGGCGCGAAGCCUGUGGGCCGCUGGAGGCAGCACUUACGGCGACAAUGCGUCCUAGAGCCCAGCGCCCAGCACUCACGCUCCCGCGGCGACCGACGGCACCCGGUGCAAGUUCUGAGCCCGAGGGGCGGAGCCAAAGGGGCAGGGAGCUCAGCGCGCACGGCCGCUCAGCCAAUAGUGACACCAGGAUACGACCCAGGGCGGGGAGGGGCCAGCGCUCCGCCCGCGCGCACCAAUCAGCGCGCAACUCCUCCUGCGCGCUCGGGAACCAAGGGAGGAACCGCUUUGUGUGGAGUCGGCAAAGCCAGCGCGCUAGGGGCGGGGCCCUGCAUCUUCUUGUGUAGGAUGCUUCUCCAGGCUGGAUUUUAUUUUGUUUUUAAUUCCACGGAUGAGCCGGGUUCAGCAGAUCGGGGAACUUUGGAAAACGCAAAGAAACGCUAAUUGAAGCCGCACUGUAACUUCAUCUCUUCAGACUAAAGUAAACAUGGAACUAAAGUCUACCUGCUUCACGGGUCGCUGUGAGAACUGAUGAAGGGACUGUGGAGUCCAGCGCUGCUGCGACGCAAAAACACAACUCUCACCUCAAAGGGGAUCAGAGAUGGCUUAUCCUAGAGCCAAAUAGGAGCGACCCUAGCCCGGGAACACAAAUACAGGUUAUUCCAUGUCCCAACAUGGUAACAGUUUG
RNAcentral lists this long non-coding RNA (1693 nucleotides) under Mus musculus (house mouse). RNAcentral describes it as "RIKEN cDNA D830039M14 gene (ENSMUSG00000043126.7)". Lineage: Eukaryota; Metazoa; Chordata; Mammalia; Rodentia; Muridae. The record is from RNAcentral.